Molecule: unclassified non-coding RNA, 344 nt
Filed under: soil metagenome
Description: partial contains 5.8S ribosomal RNA, internal transcribed spacer 2, and large subunit ribosomal RNA
Rfam family: 5.8S ribosomal RNA (bases 1-120)
Source: RNAcentral
GAUGAAGAACGUAGCGAAAUGCGAUAAGUAAUGUGAAUUGCAGAAUUCAGUGAAUCAUCGAAUCUUUGAACGCACAUUGCGCCCGCCAGUAUUCUGGCGGGCAUGCCUGUUCGAGCGUCAUUUCAACCCUCAAGCCCCCGGGCUUGGUGUUGGGGAUCGGCGUGCCCUCGCGGCGCGCCGUCCCCUAAAUCUAGUGGCGGUCUCGCUGUAGCCUCCUCUGCGUAGUAGCAACACUCGCACUGGAUCGCAGCGCGGCCACGCCGUUAAACCCCCCACUUCUGAAAGUUUGACCUCGGAUCAGGUAGGAAUACCCGCUGAACUUAAGCAUAUCAAUAAGCGGAGGA